CCUCAAUUCAGCCAAGAGUGCUUUUCAAAGGAAGAUUCCAAUUGUUGGAUGCUUGUUGACCUUAAUUACUUAGGCUAUGGAUUAUACUUUAUAAUGCCAUUUGCAAACUAUUCCUUUAAAUACCAAUUGUGUCACACUGAACCUUGCCACCUUUCAUUCCUCUGCUUCUGUAACUUUUUCAAGGAGGAAAAUAUAGCCCAUGCUUCAGAAAGGUAAAGAAUACUUGAAUUACCUGAUCAUAAAAAUGAUCACUGUAACGUUGUGGGUGUUAAUUUGUGUAUCACUGCAUUACUUGCUCAGUUGUAUGAUGACUCUUUUUGUAGGUUUUCAGUGUGGAAACAUUUUUUUGUUUGUUUGUCAUAUUUAAUUGAGUAUAAGAGACUCACUGAUGGGGCUGUCACAGGGAGAUUUUGUAGACAAAAUACAUGUCAUCUUUGUAUCCAAUAAACAUUUUUGCAUGC
RNAcentral lists this long non-coding RNA (461 nucleotides) under Dasypus novemcinctus (nine-banded armadillo). Its description in RNAcentral is "lncRNA (ENSDNOG00000052021.1)". Lineage: Eukaryota; Metazoa; Chordata; Mammalia; Cingulata; Dasypodidae. The record is from RNAcentral.